Molecule: long non-coding RNA, 1513 nt
Filed under: Gallus gallus (chicken)
Lineage: Eukaryota; Metazoa; Chordata; Aves; Galliformes; Phasianidae
Description: long non-coding RNA NONGGAT006543
Source: RNAcentral
GACCUGCUCUGCGUACUUGGUGCCAUGGUUUGGGGUGAGACAGCCUCUCUCAAGGAGAGGAACCUUUGUCUGGUCGUCCUCUUGCCAGCCUGGGAUAAGGCUCAGCCCUGCCCAUCUGCACAGCAUUCUCUGAAUGCCCAGAGCCAGUCACAGCAUUUCUAGUGUUGCAAGUCUCUGUUGUCAUUGUGUCCCUGCCCAGGAGCCUCUGAAUGCUUGCUUCUUGACUUCGUGCUUCCAGCAUUGGCCCAGCCUGGCAGUGGUUGGGGCUAUCAUUGCUUGCAGCGUGCUCCAGGUGGUUCUCUGCCUGGCCCUCCAGCUGGGACAUGCUCGCCCUGCUCCAGUCUCUAGGCAAAGGUGUGCUGUGUGCAGCAGCUAUCUCAGCUUGGUGGCUCAUCCCCAGUUCACGCCCUGUGUUUGGUGCUCUGCUGGCUUGGGGAAUGUGAGGAGAACCUUGGUCUGUCUCUUCCCUUGUGUGGCUGUGUCUGAGCUCCAAGGAUUUCAUCAGCCCCGUACUGCAGGUGCCAUUUUUCCCCUUCCUGCUUGCAGAUGAGUCUUGUCCUUGUCAUGCCUGGUGGGUGACUGUCUUGUGAAGGUGCUGGGGACAGCCCUGCUGCCCCAGAAGAGGCUCUGGGCAUCCCAGACUGGAUCCUGGUAGAGACCUACUUUUCUGUUUGUUUGUUUGCUUGCUUGCAAGGAGGAGGAAGAGGAGGAGGAAGAUGAAAACCUCGAUGAAACUUUAUCUGGCAGGUGCUUGCUUGGAGAUGAUGGGUGCUCUGUUCUCUUCCAAAGCUGCAUGGAGGAGCUGGGGAAGGGAGCCCAUGGACCAACAGAGUUGGCACCUCCUGUGCCCAGAACGAGCUCAUCUACUGCACAGCUGCCGCUGAGCUGGCCCCGCCUGGGGCAGCCCCCAGGCAGCCGGAAGGAGCCGGGAGGAGCUGGAGACCCCCCCGCAGCUGGCCCUGGGGCUGAUCACCCCAAGAAUCCCCUGAGCUAAGCCACGUCUCUGCAGCAACGGAGCAGCCACUCAGGAUUCACCCUGUGCCUGCACCCAGGCCGGUCAGUGCCUGCCCUGCCCCCAGGCAGGGGCUGUCAGCACUGCUGCCGUGCAGCGCAUGGACUUUGAUGCCCACUCCUUGUUCUGCUGCCCACCUGCAUGAACCGCCUCAAACUGCAGUUGCUCCCUGCUCCCCUUUAAGGCUGUUGGACUGGUGUUCAUUGAUCUGCCUGCUCCUGGUACAGGCAUAGCCACCCCAAAUGCCCUGAGCCUGCAGGAUGUAGGCGGUGCACCCGGGGUUGUGCUGAUCUAACUUUGCUUCUUGUAGUGGCAGCAGGGAGCAGGUGAGGCAGAGCAGCCCGCUGGGCACGGGGCUUGCUCAGCAAAUUGAAGGUGCAUAUGACCCUUGGGAAGCCAUAGCUCUUGGCCUGGAGGGGCCUUGCCCCUGCAGUUCAGCCCUGCACUUUCCCACAAGUGAAGCGAGCUGUUUUUUGAAAGGAAAGCUCUGCAUUUGUAGGG